This 397-nucleotide ribosomal RNA is filed under the name uncultured bacterium. Its description in RNAcentral is "partial 16S ribosomal RNA". It matches the Rfam family "Bacterial small subunit ribosomal RNA", at positions 523 to 918 of the family's 1533-position model. The record is from RNAcentral.
AUACGUAGGUGACAAGCGUUAUCCGGAUUUACUGGGCGUAAAGGGCGUGUAGGCGGUCUUGCAGGUCAGAAGUGAAAUUCCUGAGCUCAACUCGGGCGCUGCUUCUGAAACUGCAGGACUUGAGUGCUGGAGGGGAUAGCGGAAUUCCUAGUGGAGCGGUAAAAUGCGCAGAUAUUAGGAAGAACACCGGUGGCGAAGGCGGCUAACUGGACAGUAACUGACGCUGAGGCGCGAAAGCGUGGAGAGCAAACAGGAUUAGAUACCCGGGGUUUCCACGCCGUAAUCGAUGAAUACUAGGUGUAGGGGGUAUCGACUCCCUCUGUGCCGCAGUUAACACAAUAAGUAGUCCGCCUGGGGAGUACGGCCGCAAGGUUGAAACUCAAAUGAAUUGACGUGG